Molecule: long non-coding RNA, 631 nt
Organism: Sander lucioperca (pikeperch)
Lineage: Eukaryota; Metazoa; Chordata; Actinopteri; Perciformes; Percidae
Exons: 2
Source: RefSeq, a predicted model, not a curated record
UUUUACUUUCUUAAAAAGUAUCGGUUAAGGCACCGGGCGAAAAUUAUGUAUGCGGCAGAGUAUAUAAUUAAUUAGAUAAAUUUUUUGAAUCGAUUGACAGCCCUAAUAUAUAUAUAUAUAUAUAUAUAUAUAGCAAGGUCUUGCUGCUACUACUGUAGUCUAUGAUCGUUUCUCUGCACAGUUUCUUUCCUUUGCCUUUUCUUGUGGCUGUUUUCAAACUGUAUUUCUGCGCCGAAUUUUGGGGCUUUUUUCCCUUUAAUUUAGAGGGACAGACAGCAAAGGGCUGCAGGUCGGACUCGAACCCGAGCCGCUGCAAAGGACUCAGCCUACAUGGGGCGCACGCUCUUACAGGGUGAGCUAGAGGCCGCCCCUUUAUAUCAGCAUUUAAUGAAACCUAGAAACAGAGAUAUUGAACGGGGAGAAAUCACUUCCAGGAACCAGAGCCGUGUGCGGUCACUGCUGAGCUCUAAACUGCUGUGAGAGUGUUUGGUAGAAAGGUCUGGACAGAAAGAGGCCUUUGAGUCUGUGGAGAUCUAACUAUACUGUUGGUAGAAAGGUCUGGACAGAAAGAGGCCUUUGAGUCUGUAGAGCUCGUAACUGCUGAGAGAGUGAUGGUAGAAAGGUCUGGACA